Acyrthosiphon pisum (pea aphid) is the source of this 874-nucleotide long non-coding RNA. RefSeq lists it as uncharacterized. Lineage: Eukaryota; Metazoa; Arthropoda; Insecta; Hemiptera; Aphididae. The record is from RefSeq and is a predicted model, not a curated record. The transcript has 3 exons.
GAUAUUCGAAUACGUUUAUCUUUUGUUUAUAUUUUGGACUGGCGCGGUGUUGACAUAUUUUAUAUUUAUAGUUGCCUAGUCAUUAUCAGUCAGUUUCGGAGAAAACCCAAAUUGACGAUCGACGAUAAAUGCUUAGGUUUUAUAAUAGGUAUUUACAAUGUUGGAAUGUACGAUAAUAUUUUUAUUGUUCAUUUAUUCAUGUCGAACAGUCAACAGUAAAGUUGUUGUCGGAUUCAUUUCACCUCUAAAGUUUUUUUUAUUUUAACAUUUCUUAACCAAAUAAAAAGAUAAUGAAUUGAAAAAAAAGCUAAGUGGGGUUGAAAAUAGAAAAAGAAAACUGGAACUUGAAAAAAAUGUACAAAAACUACCUAAGAUCGACAAUUUCUUUUCAAAAACAGAAACCAACGAGAUUGUACAAAAUAAAUUAUUUGAAACGAAAACGGUAUCAACUAAUGAUGUGGACCAUGAUUCAGAUAUGGAUAAGUAUAUUACAGAAACAGAAACCAACGAACUAGAGAGCUUUAAAGAGCAUGUUUGUUUACAACAUAGAUGACGAUUUAAAAAGAGCAAAAUUUUUUAAAAUGUUGAAUUUUAUUUAUAAAAAUAAACUUCAAGAUGCAUAUCCAAAUAUAUCCGUUGCUUACCAACUAUAUCUUACAAUGCCAGUUAUUUCAGCUUCGUGUGAACGAAGCUUUACCAAAUUGAAAUAAAUAAAAACAUAUUUAAGAUCUACUAUUGAGCAAGCAAAGCUUAAUCUAUUUUAUCCAUAGAAAAUAAAAUUGCAAGACAAAUCAAUUAUGAAGACAUAAUUAAUGAUUUCGCUGCAAAAAAAGCUAGAAAAAGUAAUUUUUAAAUUUUCAGAUUAUAAUUUUUU